Perkinsus marinus ATCC 50983 is the source of this 74-nucleotide non-coding RNA. The record is from Rfam. Lineage: Eukaryota; Perkinsozoa; Perkinsida; Perkinsidae.
GCCCGAUGAGUUCAGCUGGAUAGAAUGUCUGCCUACGGAGCAGAUGGUCGUAGGUUCGGAUCCUGCAUCGGGUA